UCUUGCGGGCUUGCUGCGCGUGCCACGCUAUUUAUUCUCCCUCCAGGGGGGUCGUGGACCCCCACGAGGGAGAAUAGCUGUCGGUAUGCCGGGUGUCGGGAUUCCGUCGCCGGUAUACUGUGCGCCGGGAUCCCGACAUUCGGCAUACUGAAGACCACCCGUAGCUAUAGCUAUACAGCGAAUUACACGGGAAGCAGCUCCUGUUUAUUUGAAACAAUUAUCUGAACAUCUCAACAGCUGCAUAUCACUGUAGAAGUUUGUUUAUAGGUCGGUGCGCUUAUCUAGUGUUCAAACGAUCCCUUUCCGAAGGAGGGAUACACCGAAUUGUCUAUGUGCUGAGACUCAAUUAGUCGUAUCCGGGUCCGUAUCUUCAACCUUCCAGCGAGGAUUCUAUACUUAAGACACCAAAUUACUACACCAUAUGGCGCUUGUUCUUCUUCCCUACCUCCACAGAAUCGCAUGACUGAACCGACCUAGGUCAUUUACUGAAGAACUGAGCUGCCACCAAAGAGGUUUGGGAGAGAAACCUGACUGACCUACUUACUGCCUGUUCCAUUAAGCUAAGACUUACUAUUUAUUUAUUUAUUUAUUGUGUUUUAAGUAUUUUUUAUUAUCUAUUUUUGUUAUUAAACAUUGCAUAACUAUACAGUGCAGUGACUGGGAAUUUUUGGAAGGAGCACAUUUACCGGACCUAGCUGAACCAUCUGGAUAUAAGCAUAUCCUACAUGCUAUAUUUGAAUAUUUAUGUGGUACGCUUAAUAUAGGGGGGAAACACCCAAAACUGUUUUCAAAGAUACUUCACUAUACGGCGACAAUUUCUAUCUCCUUAUAGGUGGGGACAGCCGAUGUGAAAGUCUGAGUCUGACAGGCCUAAUUCCAAGAAGUCAUCCGGUACUUACCAAAUUUUGUCCUUCUUUUGGUCCUAUUUUGUGCCCUAAAUUACUACACCAUAUGGCGCUUGUUCUUCUUCCCUACCUCCACAGAAUCGCAUGACUGAACCGACCUAGGUCAUUUACUGAAGAACUGAGCUGCCACCAAAGAGUGCAGUGACUGGGAAUUUUUGGAAGGAGCACAUUUACCGGACCUAGCUGAACCAUCUGGAUAUAAGCAUAUCCUACAUGCUAUAUUUGAAUAUUUAUGUGGUACGCUUAAUAUAGGGGGGAAACACCCAAAACUGUUUUCAAAGAUACUUCACUAUACGGCGACAAUUUCUAUCUCCUUAUAGGUGGGGACAGCCGAUGUGAAAGUCUGAGUCUGACAGGCCUAAUUCCAAGAAGUCAUCCGGUACUUACCAAAUUUUGUCCUUCUUUUGGUCCUAUUUUGUGCCCUAAAUUACUACACCAUAUGGCGCUUGUUCUUCUUCCCUACCUCCACAGAAUCGCAUGACUGAACCGACCUAGGUCAUUUACUGAAGAACUGAGCUGCCACCAAAGAGGUUUGGGAGAGAAACCUGACUGACCUACUUACUGCCUGUUCCAUUAAGCUAAGACUUACUAUUUAUUUAUUUAUUUAUUGUGUUUUAAGUAUUUUUUAUUAUCUAUUUUUGUUAUUAAACAUUGCAUAACUAUACAGUGCAGUGACUGGGAAUUUUUGGAAGGAGCACAUUUACCGGACCUAGCUGAACCAUCUGGAUAUAAGCAUAUCCUACAUGCUAUAUUUGAAUAUUUAUGUGGUACGCUUAAUAUAGGGGGGAAACACCCAAAACUGUUUUCAAAGAUACUUCACUAUACGGCGACAAUUUCUAUCUCCUUAUAGGUGGGGACAGCCGAUGUGAAAGUCUGAGUCUGACAGGCCUAAUUCCAAGAAGUCAUCCGGUACUUACCAAAUUUUGUCCUUCUUUUGGUCCUAUUUUGUGCCCUAAAUUACUACACCAUAUGGCGCUUGUUCUUCUUCCCUACCUCCACAGAAUCGCAUGACUGAACCGACCUAGGUCAUUUACUGAAGAACUGAGCUGCCACCAAAGAGGUUUGGGAGAGAAACCUGACUGACCUACUUACUGCCUGUUCCAUUAAGCUAAGACUUACUAUUUAUUUAUUUAUUUAUUGUGUUUUAAGUAUUUUUUAUUAUCUAUUUUUGUUAUUAAACAUUGCAUAACUAUACAGUGCAGUGACUGGGAAUUUUUGGAAGGAGCACAUUUACCGGACCUAGCUGAACCAUCUGGAUAUAAGCAUAUCCUACAUGCUAUAUUUGAAUAUUUAUGUGGUACGCUUAAUAUAGGGGGGAAACACCCAAAACUGUUUUCAAAGAUACUUCACUAUACGGCGACAAUUUCUAUCUCCUUAUAGGUGGGGACAGCCGAUGUGAAAGUCUGAGUCUGACAGGCCUAAUUCCAAGAAGUCAUCCGGUACUUACCAAAUUUUGUCCUUCUCUUGGUCCUAUUUUGUGCCCUAAAUUACUACACCAUAUGGCGCUUGUUCUUCUUCCCUACCUCCACAGAAUCGCAUGACUGAACCGACCUAGGUCAUUUACUGAAGAACUGAGCUGCCACCAAAGAGGUUUGGGAGAGAAACCUGACUGACCUACUUACUGCCUGUUCCAUUAAGCUAAGACUUACUAUUUAUUUAUUUAUUUAUUGUGUUUUAAGUAUUUUUUAUUAUCUAUUUUUGUUAUUAAACAUUGCAUAACUAUACAGUGCAGUGACUGGGAAUUUUUGGAAGGAGCACAUUUACCGGACCUAGCUGAACCAUCUGGAUAUAAGCAUAUCCUACAUGCUAUAUUUGAAUAUUUAUGUGGUACGCUUAAUAUAGGGGGGAAACACCCAAAACUGUUUUCAAAGAUACUUCACUAUACGGCGACAAUUUCUAUCUCCUUAUAGGUGGGGACAGCCGAUGUGAAAGUCUGAGUCUGACAGGCCUAAUUCCAAGAAGUCAUCCGGUACUUACCAAAUUUUGUCCUUCUUUUGGUCCUAUUUUGUGCCCUAAAUUACUACACCAUAUGGCGCUUGUUCUUCUUCCCUACCUCCACAGAAUCGCAUGACUGAACCGACCUAGGUCAUUUACUGAAGAACUGAGCUGCCACCAAAGAGUGCAGUGACUGGGAAUUUUUGGAAGGAGCACAUUUACCGGACCUAGCUGAACCAUCUGGAUAUAAGCAUAUCCUACAUGCUAUAUUUGAAUAUUUAUGUGGUACGCUUAAUAUAGGGGGGAAACACCCAAAACUGUUUUCAAAGAUACUUCACUAUACGGCGACAAUUUCUAUCUCCUUAUAGGUGGGGACAGCCGAUGUGAAAGUCUGAGUCUGACAGGCCUAAUUCCAAGAAGUCAUCCGGUACUUACCAAAUUUUGUCCUUCUUUUGGUCCUAUUUUGUGCCCUAAAUUACUACACCAUAUGGCGCUUGUUCUUCUU
Pseudophryne corroboree (corroboree frog) is the source of this 3345-nucleotide long non-coding RNA. RefSeq lists it as uncharacterized. The transcript has 3 exons. The record is from RefSeq and is a predicted model, not a curated record. Lineage: Eukaryota; Metazoa; Chordata; Amphibia; Anura; Myobatrachidae.